GCGAGUAAGGCCUUGCCCACAUGGCUCGGUCAGUCCCAUUAUAUACACCUUUAAUCUGUGAACCCGUUGUUCCGAGGUGGCCGAAAGCUUAGGCGAUUAAGCAGCCGAGGUUCAGCAACCCUAUAAACCCUUUAAUGUAAAGUCAAUGGAAGUAGAUGAUAACUAUAAUA
This 170-nucleotide unclassified non-coding RNA is filed under the name uncultured fungus. RNAcentral describes it as "sequence contains ITS1". The record is from RNAcentral. Lineage: Eukaryota; Fungi.